GAUGAAGAACGUAGCGAAAUGCGAUAAGUAAUGUGAAUUGCAGAAUUCAGUGAAUCAUCGAAUCUUUGAACGCACCUUGCACCCUUUGGUAUUCCGAAGGGUAUGCUCGUUUGAGUGUCAUUGUACUCUCACACUUCUAAUUCCUUUCGGGAUUAGGAGCGGUGGACUUGGGUGUUGCUGCUUUAGUUGUGGCUCACCUCAAAUAAGUUAGUGCAACUCUUGGUUGGACAUAGUACGGCGUGAUAAGUGUCUUCGCCGGCGCCUCUGUAAGGAGGGUGGCCGAUCGGGAGCUCUGUGCUUCAAACCGUCUUCGGACAAUCUUUGACAACUUGACCUCAAAUCGAGUAGGACUACCCGCUGAACUUAAGCAUAUCAAUAAGCGGAGGA
RNAcentral lists this unclassified non-coding RNA (387 nucleotides) under soil metagenome. Its description in RNAcentral is "partial contains 5.8S ribosomal RNA, internal transcribed spacer 2, and large subunit ribosomal RNA". The stretch from base 1 to 120 matches the Rfam family "5.8S ribosomal RNA", at positions 35 to 154 of the family's 154-position model. The record is from RNAcentral.